UCUCCGACCUCGCCAAGGGUUGAUUGCGGACAUGCCUGUAGCUGAAUGGCGCCAUUGAUAGUGGCUGUGAGCCAGCCCUGCUCGGACCAAGCCACCUAGGCAACCGCCUAGGGCCUCUAAAAAUGUGGCUUGGGCCAGGGUCUCAAAACUCAUAGUAAUACCAUCAGGGAAAUCUAGCAGUCUAGUAGAAACUUAGGCCCUUUAGGAAAUUGAACGGACACAGGAAAGAAAUUGAAGGGACGAGAACGAAAGGAAAUUGAGGGGAAGGGACCAAUUCGACUAAAAGAUUUUCCACCGAUAAAAUACGUUUGAAAUUUGGAUUUGAAUCUAUAGAGACUUUAGAGAAGAACAUAGUAAAAAAUGGUGUUCAUUACUGAAGAUAUCAUCAAGCAAUUUGGAACUACGAUGAAAAAAAGUCAGCUUUCUCAUAAAUCUAGAUCUGGGAAGCACUGAUAUGUUGCUAAUUUGCAUUGCAGUUGAUCUGCAGAUGAACCAUUGAAGAAGACUUUUGAGGGCCUCAAAAUAAUUUUUCGCUUAGGGCCUCCAAAUUCUUAGAGCCGGUACUGUCUGCGGGCAAUACUGCCACCAAGUUCACAGCAGCGUUAAUCUUGUUGGAAGCAUUUGAGCAUCAUCAUCAUCAAGUUAAUUUGGCUUAUAUCUAUAAUUGUUGUCUUUUUAUUCCUUUACGGUUUUGUAGAUUUCCUUGUGUAUAUUCUUUUCGUAGUCCUUUUUCACAUUGUUUAUGGGAAGUUUACUGUGUACCUUUUCCUUGGACAUAAACUUUUCCUAUAGGAACAUGCUGAAAA
Molecule: long non-coding RNA, 806 nt
Organism: Olea europaea var. sylvestris
Lineage: Eukaryota; Viridiplantae; Streptophyta; Magnoliopsida; Lamiales; Oleaceae
Exons: 3
Source: RefSeq, a predicted model, not a curated record